CUUAGUGGCAGGCAAAGAAAAAUUGGAUUGAUUUCACUGGGACCAUCACUGCCAAACAAACAUAUUGUGUAGAUCCCAGAAAUCAGUCUUGGAAGCAAGCACCUUUCCAUGAUGAGUCAUCUCACCCGAUUUGCUGUUCUGUAAGAGUGUCUUGCUGCUGUUCCUGGCCUACAGAGGACAGCCAACACUUACUUCCUCAUGUAUGCCCUUCCUCCUCGCAUCAGUACCUUCUGUAUCAGCCAGUAAAUGAAUACCUGUGGAUCCUUGUGUGAAACGUGGCUAGGAGGAAAGUAUUCUGCUUUACAUGGAUUAAUAACCCAGCUCUGAGGAGCUCAAAAGAUAAUGGCAGAAGAGAAUUAGCAAUGGGCCCUGAAGGUGAAGAUUGGAACACAGAUGAGCUUAAAAUAUAGCAGAGGUAACAGAGGCCAGGCACCCUAUGGGAAUGUAUCAACAUUAGAAAUGAGAAAAUCAGAAAAUAGAAGAUGAGUGAGAAGUAAUGGAAAAUUAUCAAGAAGCCUGCCUUUAAGCCUUUUUUCCUGCACAAAUUGAUGGUGACAGCAGCGAUACCAAUUCAAUUACAUAACAUCUUCUGGUUCCCAGUAAUGAUUCUGAGUAGGUCAACGAGGACCAGCUUGGAACAAGAAUGACCAUGAAUUAAAAGGAAAGAAUAAGCAAUGAAAGUCUGAGUUACAAUCCAUUUUCACUUCCGGGGAAAUUUUAAGCCAUAUUAUCUUAUAAAGUAGGCAGGAUAAGU
Molecule: long non-coding RNA, 754 nt
Organism: Peromyscus eremicus (cactus mouse)
Lineage: Eukaryota; Metazoa; Chordata; Mammalia; Rodentia; Cricetidae
Exons: 5
Source: RefSeq, a predicted model, not a curated record